This 189-nucleotide small RNA is filed under the name Oryza sativa Japonica Group (Japanese rice). RNAcentral describes it as "sRNA Os06g0679850". Lineage: Eukaryota; Viridiplantae; Streptophyta; Magnoliopsida; Poales; Poaceae. The record is from RNAcentral.
CGAUCCGGCUCUGUACCACACUCAGCCCACCAUUGGGUGCCUGCAUCUCGAUAAUCCAAGCUCGAGGUGUGGUUUUCACUUGAAAACCUACUAAUCAUGAUUGUGUAUUCUUUUCCUGUAAUCGACUCAAGGGCUCAAGGCUGUUUGCGUUUUUCCUUGCGAACAAGGAAUGGAAGAAGGUUGUACGCC